Molecule: ribosomal RNA, 253 nt
Filed under: uncultured bacterium
Lineage: Bacteria
Description: partial 16S ribosomal RNA
Rfam family: Bacterial small subunit ribosomal RNA
Source: RNAcentral
UACGAAGGGGGCUAGCGUUGCUCGGAAUCACUGGGCGUAAAGGGUGCGUAGGCGGGUCUUUAAGUCAGGGGUGAAAUCCCAGAGCUCAACUCUGGAACUGCCUUUGAUACUGGGUAUCUUGAGUAUGGAAGAGGUAAGUGGAAUUGCGAGUGUAGAGGUGAAAUUCGUAGAUAUUCGCAGGAACACCGGUGGCGAAGGCGGGUCUCUGGGCCGAUACUGACGCUGAGGAGCGAAAGCGUGGGGAGCGAACAGG